Hylaeus volcanicus is the source of this 459-nucleotide long non-coding RNA. RefSeq lists it as uncharacterized. The transcript is spliced from 3 exons. Lineage: Eukaryota; Metazoa; Arthropoda; Insecta; Hymenoptera; Colletidae. The record is from RefSeq and is a predicted model, not a curated record.
UGUAAUUGACACGCAAUUUUAUAGUCAAUCUUGUGGCGCCAGAGUUCGGUAUGGGCGUCGAUGCGUGUGAUUAGACGGGUGCACGUGGGAUAAUUGUAGAGUAAUUACGUAGAAGCUGAAUAACUAUGAAGCAUAGAAACUUGGAGACACUCACUCGCCGCGAAGUGUACGUUGACACUUAUUUACAUUUAUUGGAUUCGAAGGUACAAAAAUAGGAAACUCAGUUUGUACACAAAUUGACAAUUACUUAAAAAUAAAAAUUAGACAUAGUAAAAGAAAUUCUACAGGAAACUAUACUGAAUGGCUUCACUGUGAUAAAGAUGAUAAUCGUUCGGGGCUUAGUUGCCGUGACGAAGCGUGCAGUGUCGUCGACGUGAGCGGCAUUUUGCAUAUUUCAUGCCAUCCUGGAUCAUCGGCGUUAACUGCCACGAAUCGAUUACAAAUGAAAAACGACCAUAA